RNAcentral lists this long non-coding RNA (342 nucleotides) under Homo sapiens (human). RNAcentral's name for it is "non-protein coding lnc-DIAPH3-11:1". The record is from RNAcentral. Lineage: Eukaryota; Metazoa; Chordata; Mammalia; Primates; Hominidae.
AUAAUGCUGUUUAGCCCAGGCUGGGAAAAUGAGUUGAUCCUGGAGGAGGGACAGUGUUGUCACUGCUCCACCUGCAACACCUGCCCUUCCAGUACAGUAUCAACUAUAAGAUCACAAAUUGGAAGUAUCCAAAGCUGAAAGAAGUGGAUAAUGUGCUUGGGGGAGCAGCUGCCUGGGAGAGCAACUGCCUAGGAGAAUGUCCACUGUCCUGCCCAGCCAUGUCCCCAGUGCGAACACCCUCCUGUUCACUUCAUGCAGCACAAGACUCACCCUGCAGAUGAGCCAAUGACUGCCUUCUACAAGGGCAGCAGUGCUCAGUGUGGACACUGCUGGGGGAAUUAG